GAUGAACGCUGGCGGCGUGCCUAAUACAUGCAAGUCGAGCGAACAGAUAAGGAGCUUGCUCCUUUGACGUUAGCGGCGGACGGGUGAGUAACACGUGGGUAACCUACCUAUAAGACUGGGAUAACUUCGGGAAACCGGAGCUCAUACCGGAUAAUAUUUCGAACCGCAUGGUUCGAUAGUGAAAGAUGGUUUUGCUAUCACUUAUAGAUGGACCCGCGCCGUAUUAGCUAGUUGGUAAGGUAACGGCUUACCAAGGCAACGAUACGUAGCCGACCUGAGAGGGUGAUCGGCCACACUGGAACUGAGACACGGUCCAGACUCCUACGGGAGGCAGCAGUAGGGAAUCUUCCGCAAUGGGCGAAAGCCUGACGGAGCAACGCCGCGUGAGUGAUGAAGGUCUUCGGAUCGUAAAACGCUGUUAUUAGGGAAGAACAUACGUGUAAGUAACUGUGCACGUCUUGACGGUACCUAAUCAGAAAGCCACGGCUAACUACGUG
Molecule: ribosomal RNA, 497 nt
Filed under: uncultured bacterium
Lineage: Bacteria
Description: partial 16S ribosomal RNA
Rfam family: Bacterial small subunit ribosomal RNA
Source: RNAcentral